UGACAUUUAUUUUGGUCCUUCGAGCCGGAUCAGAAAUAUCAGAACUGUUAUCUGUGACUCUGUUCCAGGAUCUGGCACACUGUUUCCUGACGCCGUGGAGCCAGCACCGAAGUCUGUGCCCUCUUAGACGAGGAGGACCCGGGACGUUCAAGUCCGGGCCGGUCUGGUCCACGGCGGUGGGAUUCAGUCUGACGAUCCGAAUCACCAGUGAGACGUCUGAGGGUGAGAGAAACACUAUUUUGUAAAACGGCCACGAAGGUUUUAAGAAACGCGUAAAAUAAAAUGAUAAAAUAGGUUAAGUUCGCCAAAAGGCCAAAAAGAACUAAGUUUAGACCAGUUUCAGAGGUAGCUGUUAAAUACUUCGUAACAAAUUAGCGCGCAAAUGUCUAUCUGUGUAUAUGUGUGUAUGUGUCUAGAAGUAAGUUGAUUUUACAGCACAAUACGCUGCUGAACUACUUCUAUUUUAUUGGUUUUCUUUGUUGAGGCUCACGUACUGGUGACAAAUGAGAACGGUUGAGUUUUAUCUCGUAAAACUGAUACCGCUUCAUUUUUUAGAAGUGAAGUAGAAGGGCGUAUCAGCAACCACUCUGAAGUCAAGCGUGCCAGUGACAGCCCAGCAAAAUCUUUGACAAUGGGGAAUAAACAAGCAAAAUUAACACCUGAUGAGGAAUAUUUAGAAAAACAACAAACCGGAGCAGGUAGAAUAAGUGCAAAUAGGUGGAGAAAUCCACAAAAAGCUAAAAACCACAGCUGGGAAGGGAAAUGCAAUCCCUCAGCUGUUACCCAGCUGAAAGCUGUCCUGAAACAAGAAAUUACAUUAACAAAAGACCCAAAGAA
This is a long non-coding RNA of Oreochromis niloticus (Nile tilapia), 837 nucleotides long. RefSeq lists it as uncharacterized. NCBI's taxonomy places the organism in Eukaryota, Metazoa, Chordata, Actinopteri, Cichliformes, Cichlidae. The record is from RefSeq and is a predicted model, not a curated record. The transcript has 2 exons.